Haliotis rubra (blacklip abalone) is the source of this 95-nucleotide long non-coding RNA. RefSeq lists it as uncharacterized. The transcript is spliced from 3 exons. The record is from RefSeq and is a predicted model, not a curated record. Lineage: Eukaryota; Metazoa; Mollusca; Gastropoda; Lepetellida; Haliotidae.
GAUGCCAUAUAGCAAUAUUCCAGCAAUAUCAUGUCAGGGACACGAGAAAUGGGCUUCACACAUUAUGCCCGUGUGGGGAGUCAAACCCAUGAGUC